CAAGGUUUUACAUUUCUGUUCUGGCUCUUACACCAGUGUUUGCAGAAAUGCAGGAUCACUGAGGUCAGUAUCAGUUCCUCUGGCCAGUGAGUGACAGCAACGCUUUUAAUUUGGCAGGCCAGCAUCAUUCCAGUAACUAGCACAGGGGAAAAAACACGCACACACGCAGCCUUCUCCUGUCCGUGGCAGCCGGAGCACCUUUCAGACAUCCUGCUUCACCUGCUGACACAACCCAUCAGCGCCCACUGCAAUCAAAUGCAGCUAAUUGGAAGGUGAUGACAGCCAAGGGUCUGCUGGAUUUGCAUGCUAACUCCUCUAUUUUAUCGUCACACAGCCAAACUACAGGUUGAACACCCUCCUGAGAAAAGCAGGAUUCCUGUAUGGAGGAAGGAUGACACUCAGGCACACGCCCUGGCUUUGCAGCAGCAGGUUCAAAGUGCUGACAGCACCCACAACUUCUUCAAGCAGAGUUGCCUACCUGUCUCAGCCAAAGGUUUUGCAGUUUUUAGCUGCUGAAUACUCAGAGACGAACCAGACUUUUCACAUGGACAGAACCAGAACUGGAAAUUUCAUCAGCAUUCUGCUUCUUCCAGCAUGUCUUUAUUGGCCUGAACACAGUCCUUUUCUUGUGGAAAUAAGAAUGUCACCAUGAACGUCCAGUGGCAAACUGGAUAAGAAAGAGUGUCACAGUCCAGGACAACCUAGAAGAUGACAGGUAUUUCCAGGCAUAGCAAUGAUGAGAUCAAAUUCCCCUCAACCUGCCUUGUUUGCUGAUCUUUUAAUCAGAUUCAACUUCACUGCAGCUACAGCACAAGGUUCCCUGACAAUGUAUGACAGCAUGUGACAGAAAAAUAUUUUGAUUUUUUUUUGGCCAUUUGAUGCUGUUGCAGAUAAAUCUGAAGCCCCAGCAUCUGAUAAAUGUACUAAACUAUUUUAGCGAAGGUUUUAAAAUGUGCAUAAUUGCUUGGGGUCUGGGGUUUGCGUUUGUAUGUUUGUAGUGGAAUCCAAACAGGAAAGCUGGGAAAUGAUCUAAACCCUUUGAGGUUAACAUGCCAUGAAAGAGCAUCAACAGUUGAAGAGGACAUUAUUAAAAAGCAGCCAACCUGGCUCGAAAAGAACAACUGUGUGAAGCAAGAGCCCACAGAACAACACCCAGGGCUGUUUGUGGUCCUGCAGGGAUACGUAUUUCAUCCCAUCCUCAUCUCUCCAAAUUUCCUUUGAACCGCUUGUGAGCUGCGUUCUUGGAAAAGAAAAACACCAGCAACUACUGAACGCGUCUUAUCAACCUUUUCCCUGCAAUCUGGUUCGUAUUCCUCUCACACCCGUGUUCUCGCAGUGACUUGGGGAAAUGCUUGGAUCAAAGGUAAGAGAGAACAAGGAAAGGAAUGAAGCAAGUAACAACCAACGAAACCAAACCACCACCCCCAAACUUUUUGACUAAACUCCUCUGUGAAUCGUGUGCAUGAUUAUAGCAAAGUUAAAACUGCCUUCUUCUUCGCCAGUACUUAAUUCCUGCUUUUAAAAUCAGGCUCCCUUUGAUCUUGGGGAUUGAAAUGAUCUGGAAAUGAAACAGCCAUUACUUUGCAGAAAAUCUGGAUAGGGUCCCAGACAUGGCUUUUACCUGGAAGGCUUCCAAAACAGGAUGAAAUCUCUCCAGUUUCAGAACAAAUUGCAAGAUUUUUUCUCUAUGUCUAGUCCAACUGUGGAACUCGAGCCCCGAUGUCUGCUGGUUCCCAAAUCGCAGAUGUAAUAACCUCCGGGGUGAACUGAGAGCAUUAUUCCUCCUCUGCCUCUCCUCUGAGGGUCACGGGCUGGGAAAAUUUUAUUAUAGUGAAGGUUUAAAGUUCUGGGCAAACUUAAGUUAAGGAGACAGUUGGUUAUAACCCAGGCUAAAUCCAGCCAUGUGAAGGCUGGAGAGGACAGAGAACCAGGACCAUCUGUAACAUCUGGAUCCUGUUGCAGGCACAGAAAUAUCUGCCUGGCUUCGUAUGACCUGGUCCCGGAGCCAAAAGGGCUUAGAAAUGUGGUUAAGAGACACUCAAGCAGGCUUUGCCCUAGCAAAUACAUCCCACUGAGAAAGCAAGCACAUCAAUAUUUCUUUGACUGUGUUUCCUUUAUUUAAUAUAUUUCCAUAUGUUGCAUGAAUAUUUCUCUUAUUGCAGCUUGUAAGUCCAUCUGGUACUUGUAUUGGGAGGGCUUGAACUGGAAGAUCCUACACUGUGCUGUUACACAGAAACCUGGACUGCCCAUACAAGGACAGGUAGGUGGUUGGAUGGAGACAACUUCUCCUCAGCUAUCUUUUUAAUUAGAUUAUGAACUUCUCAAAGCAAUCAAGAUAAGCAGGUUAGUUACUAUCGAUAAGCUCACACAGUGCCAUUUUUUUAUGUUACAAAAUGAGCAUGGGCUCUGUCUCUGAAGUACAGCAGUCCACAACUGAGAAAUCUCUCCUUUCUUCAUGUGCUGGGUAGCCAGAAGCUACACAGCACAACAAUCCUGGUCUAAGAAGUGUAAAUGACAAAGGAUUCCUAAGCACCUAUACUAAGCAGAAAAUGUGCUGAAGUAUCAUAGUUUACAAAGACAAUAAGAAUCAAUUUCCCUUGCAUGUGUUAUUCAGGAACUAGGGAAUAAUUAUCUGCUUUAAUAUGAGGGUUUUUUUUCCUUCUGCAUGAUUAACUUCACUGUUAUCAACAGAGAGUGUGAUGACUCCAAAAUGACAGCUCCUGGUCACACAUUCUGGGAUUAGCAAAAACAGGUUGUCAGUUUACCCUAGCCAGGAAAGGUCAGUCGCUGUGUGCUGAGUUCUGGACAGAGGAGCUGGGUUCUGCACCAAGCAUCCGACAGCCCAAGCAGCAGGUCCAGGUCCUGCCAGGUGGCUCUUGGGUUGGGUGUGCAGGACUAGCUGCUUCGACAGGAGACUCGGGGUCUUCUGAGGCAGCACCGCGUGAUUUUUGGCUGUUCAGCUUCCAGACUGAAAGCACUGAGUUGUCUUUGUGAUAAACUCUGACCUGCAUCAGCCUGGAGAUCUCUGAGCAGCCCCACCAUGAGGCACAGGGCUCUGUCUCUCCCAGUUUCACUGUUCGUUAUAGCAACGAGCAACUCAUUAAGCUGAGUCUAAAAUAUUAUGUACUUUAAAAUGUCUGGCUCUAAUGGUAUCCCUGUCUCUGACUACUCAACGUGCAAAGUGACAGCACAUACACCAGCCCAGGGAAAGGAUGGAGAGAAAAGUAGGACAAACACAGAUUCUCCCAGCAUGUCUAUGGUCCAGCUUUAUUAGCAAGUAUCCGCUCUGGACUGCAUUCUUACUUGAAUAUAAAAUUCUUGGAGAAUCUUCCUGCAUCUUAGCAUAAAAUUAAGAGAUGAUAUUUAUCAGAGCAAUACUCUAAUUAGCCACACUCAACAGCCUGUGUCUGGAGCCUUGUCCAUUUUGAUAUAUGCAACAAAACUGCAACCUAUUCAUCUUUAGAGUCUGAACUCCAGCAAUGUUUAUGAAGCAGACACAAGCUCAUACAUGAACCCUACUCUGCAGCAAGUUUUCUCCCCAGAACAUCCCCGGUCCUGCAGAAGUUCAAACCUGGCUCUGAGGUGUCCACCUUCAACACAUGAAUGCAUCUCCUAGAAGGAUCCUUAGAUUUGAAGCAUGGCUGCAAACUGUGGUCAGCCGGGAAGGCCCAGGCAGAAGCAGCUCACCCCUGAAGAUGCCAUCUCCCCACAGCUUCUGCAGUGAGAUUCCGCAUCUGAGAACUGCUGAAAUCACAUAAUACCAUCAUCCUUCUUUCUGGGCAGCUCCCGCCAGAAUAGAAAACGUAUUUUUCCCAUUGCUACUCAACUCCUGUUUGGCACAGACAAGGCUGAAGCAAUUGAGAGGCGACCAGGAAGGAGGCAGACAGCCCAGUUGUCUUCCCAUGAUACUGGUAACACAGACUGCACAUUUAAUUGCAAAACCAGAUAAUACGGAAUGGAAUUGCAGGCAGGGUUUUCAACAUUUUCAGGCAGACAUAAAUACAGGAGAGUGGAGGAAGGAAGGGAAAUAGAAGACUAAGGAAGAGGAUUUUAUUCAGUUCACUGACACUAUGGUACCUAAAUUUACUCUAAAUUUACGGAAAUACUUUCAAAAGAGUGAAGGGGACUUCACCCUCCCCUCAAAUUAAGAUUCAGUACAAAUUACUCUCAGAGGCUUUGAACAUUUUCCCACCAGGUACUUCAGAAAAGAAAAACAAAAAACCCUCUAAAACAAAACAUGCAACUCAGAAUAUUUUUUCCCCUUUCUGAUUUAUCAGCCUAAAUUAGGACUGCUUGGUAGGAAAAUUUUCCCCAGAUGAUUUAGAUACACAUAAGGAAUUUUCCUCUUAUUUGCACCACACAGUUGUGUUCAAAAGCAUUUCAAGAACCUGACAAAGUUGCCCAGUAAAUCUAAUGGUUAACUUGAACAAACUACUGUGAGUAACAUCAGUGCUUUCUUUAACUACUUUAUCCUUGGCUAUUGGCAGUAAGCUAAAUCUCUGUCCUGAAGAUGCCUCUAGGUUCCCAUGAAGUUUAGCUCCAGUUUUCAGCUUCAGCAGAAGCAGAAAUUGCACAGUGCAGGGACUGUGAGUUAAAUCACUACUGCAGAUGAUUGUAGAUCUACAAAGGAAGAGGUCAAGGGUGGGUGUUUGGUGUCACUUCUGAAACUGGAGGGACAAUUUAAAGCAGAGAAACGGGGAAGAAGAGAGAGAUGACUUAAAACUGAUAGUCUGUGAUUUCUAGGAAGUUUCAAACUGACUGUGUAACUGUCUCUGUUUUUUGCUGAUCUUGCUGACAAUCUGAAUGGCUGAUGUUACAGACUUCUCAUUUUCCAGAUUCUACUAGAAUUGACACACAUCAAAUAAACGUUCAGUUUUUGUACGGACCAACCUUGGAAUUUGUAAGGUAAACUCAUCUGAGUCUCCUUCCCUCCUAGAACCUCUUCAUUUCAUUAAAAUUACAAUAUACUGAUGGUCCUGAGGCAAAAAGGACUUCAGAGCCUUUAGAGGGAGUCCUACACAAAGAGCAAGUGUGAAACUCUUAACGGUUAUCUUGUCCCCUCAUGGAGUGUUAAUGGGAUGUGCAUUGAUUCAUUGAUGGGAGAUUACACUCCUUAGUGUCUUUGUCAUUAAUACUUAUCGGUAAAAUGUACGACAUGUGGAAGGUCAAUAUCUCAUCCAUAUCUUCUUUUUUUUUUUUUUUUUUUCCCUAAUUUGGUACCUAGUAGUUGGAAAAGUGGCCAGUCAGCCAACUGCAACAGGAGCUGUUAAAAGAAGCCCCAGCUACCAGCAGCCAAAAGGAAAUUUUCAAACAUUGAUUUUCAUAUUAUCGGCUCAAUUUCUUCCUAUACAUACAAUAUCAGAAUGAUUAAAAAAAAAAAAAGUUAGACAAAUAUUUGUACAUAUGGCUAAUGAGAGCACCUGGCAUAGCAGGCAAACAAGCUAAUGGGAAAGAACUGGAAUGGAUGCGGAUCUCACGGUGUGUAUCACAUCCCAAGCAGCUUGUUUUCUCUACUGAUGUCUCCUUCAAAGAGCCUUUUGCACCAUCGAAUGAAUGUGCUGGAUCUACUGCCCUUGAAAACAGUUGGGUUCCCACUCUACCUCAGGGCAAAAGCAAAAGCCACCUGCUUUGGAUGAAGGCUCAUUAAAACCUUCAGGUACCAGCACCUUUGCAGAGAUAUCGAGCAAGCUGGUGAUGGCAUCAGAUACAGACAGAUGUCUCCUAGGACCUGGGCUGGCACCACCAAUUUAUCUCAUGUUGCCCACAAAAUAACUAUCACCUUAUAAAGACUUUCAUUUAUUACUAGUGACUGGUGAACCUCUGGAGGUUUGCUUGGGACAAAUACCAAUUCAGCUGCCAAACCUUAUCCGAACUAUCUGAACCUCUCGUGUCUAAAAAAAUUGGGCUGGAAAUCUCAUCAGAUAAGGAUUUACUCUGUGAUUGACUGUAGUUAUUGCUUCCAGAUGGGCUAGAAUUACUGACAUUACUGCCCUUUCACUUGGUAUUUGGUAUAUCCCAUUCUGGCUGAGAACCUAGGAAAAAACUAUAUGUAUAUUUUUUUGGUCACUAUAUUUUAAACUGAUGUCCAUUUUUCUAGUUUUAGUUCUUCGGUCUCCAUUUCCUAAUUGCUCCUGAGCUGAAAUCUGGCCUUUUUCAGUAGAUGGCCCACUGAUUCCAGUGAAAUCUUUUGACAUUGGCCUGCCUUAUUUUGGUAAGUCAGAGUAAAAGCAGGUAACCAGGAAGGAUGGGAGGAUGGUCAUCCGGCCCCAUUAAAGAGAGCUGCUGAAUGAAAAGCCAGUAUACAUACAGAUAACUGGAACUGUCUGCCUCAACUUUGACUUUUUUUUUCCCCCCUUAUGAAGUCAAAUAAAUAAAGUAUUCCACUGAAAUGAUGCCCACAACAAUUCUAAAUAUUUCCUCUGAUUAUUUACAGUGUAUUAAGAUUUUUAAGUGUAAUAUUUCAUUCAGUCAAACAAGUCUUUUUUUUUUCCCCUUCAUUUCUUAGUUGCUGACAUUUUUUGGAAAUUGUUUAUUGAUGCUGACUGACAACAAUUCUCACCUUCUUGGCCAGACUUUUUCUGAACAAGCAGAAAACUGGAAAUUCCUUUGUCUUACUCUUAUGGAAUAAAAGAAAAGCUACUGUAGCAGUAAACAAGAAACUAAAAUCCUCCAGAAAGACAGUUUCAUUGGCAGCAGAGAAAAGACUGGGACUGAUGGUGGGCCAGGACUCUGUGAGAAUGAGAACCUUUCACAUCAGAAGUGCAAGGAUGCAGAGAGGAGAUGAGAUUGUUUGGAUGGAUGUUUUUUUGGUGCCAAGUCUUUGCUUAGACCAUGUAAGGGACCGCCAGAUGCAUCAGAGGGAUUGGGAUAAAGUAGGCAACAGAAAGCUGUUAGGUUUGAAAAAGGAAAGCGUACUCUGCAAAUGAGAAGAAGAAAAAAAAAAGUCCAUUACUGUAAAUCUGUGAUAUGUCCAAAAGCACCAUGUGAUUUUAAUGGCACAGCAUCUCCAUGGAGGGUCACCUAGUGAUUAGGAAGGGAGGAAUUCCCAACUGAGAACAGGUCAAUGGUUCUGUUCUUUCUCUAGCUGGUCUCUGACAGCGCCAGUUUUGAAAGAUGAACUGUGGAGUCAUUUCCCAAGGGAAGCGGUGGAAGUCCCACAUCAGGAGACUUUUACAACUAGAUCAGACAAAACACUAGAAAAUGUACUGUAGCUGUAGCGAGCGAUUCUGCAUCAGCAGGGAGAUGGAUUGAAUGAUCUAAUAUGGCUCUUCCAUCUGCAAUUCCUGUGAGUCUAUGAAUCACAUUUCUGUGUGGCAAUGCAGCCGAGUAAAUACAGUGCAGAGCAAAACCAUCAGCUAUCUUGGUGUCUCUAUAACAGUAACAUGAGUAAAUUAGGCAGACUAAUUCCAAAAAGGGAUAUAUUUGACUCUCUGGUUCUAAAUCCAUCUGUUCAAACUGGCUAUAGUACAGUAUGUUACUGCUAAUUCCUAAGUGGUUCAGGCUGGAUAACAGGAUAUUUUGUGUCAGGUGUGCUAUUAGCAAAGAACUAAACGAUUAUUAAUUCACAUUUUGUUGUACAAAGCUAGUAUUUCCUAAGUAAGCCACCACAUUUUGGAUCAAUAUAAAGAGUGACCCAGCUAUCUAUAGCCUCUGUGAAUUUUAACUUUAACCAUAUGGAAGUAUCUUGCAAAAGUAGACUAUAAAAAUUUAAAAUAUGUCAGUUUAAGACGCAAAGUAUCUUAUGACUGGAAAAAGACAAGGGUGGAAGGAUUGAAAAAUCUUAUUACCAGACAAAUGUGCUUCAGCUGAAGCCUGGAUCUGUGCCCAGAUGAUACGGGCAUAAAUGAAUUCACGGACAUGGGUGGGUGUCAAAGCUACCAGAUGUCAGACUAACCAAACAUUUCUUUCGUGCACCCAACCAAGCCCAGUGGGUCAACUAGUCUUAGAAAGAUCUCUAACUUUGUUGAUUGACUUGGGAAACGGAAAUAUCAAACUUCAGCUUCAACAGUAAUCACUACUGAACAGAAUUACGUGAAACAUAUUUGCAUGAUACUUCUAUGGAAAUAAGGGUCAUAUACAUAGAAGUUACACAGUUGACAAGAACUCCAGUGUUUCACUAUGAAACAUUCACUUAACAGAGUAAAUUUCCCUAGCAGUCAGGAAGAUACUUUUAGCUGCUUUUCAUUAAUCAACAGGAAGAUAAGUGUUUAUGACCUUGUUCUUUUAAUUCUGGUUGCAAACUCCUACAACCACAACCACCAAAGGUUUAUUUUCCUCAUCACUGCUCAAUCCCUCCCCUCUCAGCCAUGAUCUUUCCAUGGCCAUUCUUAACUCUUUUCUUUAAGUGUUUCUGCAUUUCCUGGGUUUGUAGUGUGAUGUUUCUGACACACCUGAGGGAUCAUAUUUGACAAAAAAAAGCCUUGUCCCCCUAAUUGGCUUCUGAGAAGGAGUCACCGCCAGAGCAUCAGUUCUAAUGGUGGAGCCCUGCAUCACUAGAGGACUGAAUUAGAAAGAUAAACCUUAGAUUUCUGAGAUUCAACAUGACAUUUGAAGUUCUUCCACCUCAAGUGCAAACACUGUUAUCUGGGAAGAGUGAUUACUACUGCACACAUACCUGUCGAUGUAGAUCUGUCCAUGUAGAUGUGUGCUCACAGCAUGUGCAGCACAUCUGAACAGAAGUGCUGGACAUUUAUAUGGGACAUCAAUCAAGAUUGCAUGCCUACAUAUGUAUAUGUGUGUGUAUUCCAACCACACCAUUGAAUCUGCAGGUUUUUAGUUGUCGACAGGCAUCUACAAGUACCCUGACUAACUAUUCAUGAAGAUACUGGAGAAUUCAGCAUCAUGACAUUUAGACCUGUUGAUUUAUUCAUUCUGAACUGCAGCAUCAUUUCUUCACUAUUCUUCAUUCAUUUUUCCCCUUGUUUAAAAAGUUUCAUUCACCCAGUCAUAAAUAAGUAAGUAAAUAAAUAAAUAACCAGCACCUGGCUUGGGUAACCAAUUCCACACCUUUCUGGAGAAUGAAAUUGAACUGUUUAUAAAUAAACCAUAAGGUGAAAUGUGUUUGCAUAAACUAUUUGAUAAACACUUAGGAAAAGAGCUAUUGGGAAAAGCAUCCAUCUUCAUAUAUUUCACUGUGAAAAUGAAAAACAUUUUUGGGGAGGCGAGUUGUUCUCACCUUUUCCUCUACUUUUGCACUGACUUGGUAUAAAAUCUGUUAACAGAAAAUAUUGAAAUUAAUAGGGGAUUACUGUCUGAACCUAAUAGUUUAAAAGUUUUUCCACUAAUACUAAUAAAUGAGUUGGUCAUGUUAAUUACUGUUGAGGGGGAUUGUCUCAAGGUUUGGCACCUGAUCUGGACAAAUCAGCAAAAUCCCUUUGACAGUCAAAGGAAAGAAAUGGGCUCCUUUCCAGGACUAGCCAGGCCAGCCCAAGAAAUACUUCAUACCACCCACACCUGCAGAAGGUGAUAUGAAGAGCUACAGAGAGACAAUCUGUACAAGUAGCUUUGACAUUAGAUGAAUACCCCCAUAAAGUCCUAUCAAACCAACAUAAGGUUUGUUUCUGAUAUUAUUUCCAAUUGUUACUCAACUACCAAAGGACAUAUGAACAUCAGAAAAACGAUUUCUGUAUAAAUCCAGUAAUAACAAAAUGCAGCAUCUUUGCCACAGCUACAGAACAAAUGCCAGCAUUUAAUAAUUACAUGUGUAUAUUUAUAUUAUAACUGUUUUGUACUUGGAGUUACUAAAAAGGAAUCUAUAAUUACAAUGAACGAUUUUUUUUAUGAUUCUGGGGCCAAAUAGACUGCCAAAACUGCACAACUCAGUACAGAUUUGUAUUACCUGCAAGAUUCUGGAUUAGGCAAGGCAUACGCUGAGAGGUUUGUACUACAAUAUAGCCCCCAAACUUAAAUGUUGUGACAUUAGCAAGUAGCUUAUAAUUAAAGUAUGUUGCCAUUUCACCAGGCUUUCAUUUAUAGGAGAAAGUGCAAAUUCUAUUCUAUGUGAACUUUAGAUACAUCCAACUUUUUUCUUUGUUCUUUUCUUUAAAGCUUUGCAACAAAUGCAUCUCCAUAUGCUUAUAUUAGUUAAUCUAGUAUUAAACAUAUUGGCUGUGCAAAAUGUUGGCAUGCAUUAAUAAAUGUUUUCAUUUUUUUCUAUUCUUUUUUUUUUCCCCUUACUUUAAAUUCUUCCUUUGACUACACAAGCAACAGCUGUCUAGCUUCCUGUUCAGUACUGGAUCUAAUGCCUCUACAGAAAUCUGGGUCAAAACACUUGGAAUGCAUGAAUAUCAAACAGAGUUUUCAAAACAGCAAAUGAAUACAUCUUUAACUGGUGACAUUUUCCUGUAGCAUAUGGCUGCAAGCUCAGGGGACUGCAUGCUUUUUUGAUGAAUAUGUUCCGUCAAAAACUAAGGAAUGGCAGUGGGCUUAUAUCACCUUCUGUUUUGCCUUAUGAAAUGAUAAUGCAAACUCAUAAAUGGAUACUACUAUCACAAGACUUGUGCCUUUUGUGCAAUCCCAAAGUAGUACAAGGCCUAGUGGUUAAGAGCCUAACUCUUUGGUCAUGUUAAAGUAUAAAAGAUAACUGUCAAAGAUGCUUUUUUGUAAAGCACUUGCCCAUGUCAUGGAGGGUGUAAGAUUACCUGCAUUUCCAUACCAGUGAAAAACAGCAACAUACGGUACCAGGAACGAGAUACAGAUUAAUUCUAAAAUUCUGCAAAGACAUUAAACCACGCAUAUAAUUUCUGCAAAAGAAUGGCAUGAUGUAACAAAGGUAAUAUGAAUAUAGUUUAUCUUGCCAGCACAAAUAUGCAGGGAAAGUUGUACACUUUUAAUGACAGAAAUAAGAGAAUAAAAGUAUAAACUAAAAUUAAAGUGCUGGCAUCUCAGUAAACCCCAUAUCAACACUAAAGUGACAGUCCAAAGAAAGCUGCUCUAACAAGCUUGUCUGUUAUUCUCUGAGAAGAAAGGAUGGGUUUGGCAGCAACACCAGAGCCUGUUGAAUAAUUAACCAACUACCAAUUCUGACCAGUAGGAAACGAUGGAGCUAUUAUUUCUGAUCAUGUUUUCAUCUUCUCAAAUAACAAAAAAACAAUUAAAAAAAAAUCAUGCCUAAUAUCUCUUUAGGUAAAAAAAAAUAUAUAUCUAUCUAAUUAAAUACUCUCAAAUAUUCCAUAAGAUGCAGGGCUGGAGAUGCACGUCAGCUGGAAGCACAGAGCGACUCACUCGCUGGACUUGCAGGAGGUUGUGCAGGGGUUCAAAAUAAGAUUGUGGCCAAGGUCUUUGUAGGUUCUGAUCUCCAGUACCCUGUAGGGUGUAGUGGGGCAAAAAAAUGCCAAAUUCAGACUCUAUUUAAAGCAGCCAAGAGUUUUUUCCAUGUUGACAGUCAGAGCAAAUGCGAGAGUUGAGUCGAUCUAGAUAAGCUAUGGUUGUAUGAAACCGCGUUGCUGAUUAUAUGUCAGAGCUUCUUGUAUUUUGUGAAGUCUCUUUUCAGUUAUGUGGAUAGAUCCCCUCACUUUCUGCCACCUUCCAUCUCCUAAGCUCUACAUUAAAACAACCAAGAAUUCAAAUGUCAUUGUCUCUCUGAUAUUUCAGUAGUCUCAGCUGGCUCAGCUCGUAGCUCUGGGCAGAGGCUGGG
Columba livia (rock pigeon) is the source of this 11635-nucleotide long non-coding RNA. RefSeq lists it as uncharacterized. The transcript is spliced from 7 exons. NCBI's taxonomy places the organism in Eukaryota, Metazoa, Chordata, Aves, Columbiformes, Columbidae. The record is from RefSeq and is a predicted model, not a curated record.